Molecule: long non-coding RNA, 956 nt
Filed under: Sus scrofa (pig)
Lineage: Eukaryota; Metazoa; Chordata; Mammalia; Artiodactyla; Suidae
Description: lncRNA (ENSSSCG00070008490.1)
Source: RNAcentral
CCUCUGCUUCCUGCCUCUUUGAGGCUACUUGACCUGUGCCGUGGUUCUUCGUGGGUGUCUUCUGUCCCCGACGAGAUGGGAGCUCCAAGACGCUGGGGGAGAGAAGAAAGGGAACACCUACCUACUGGGGGCUUUCUGGUUGCCAGGUACCCCGUCGGGCUCGUUCACAGCGGCUGUUUCAUUUGUGCCUCAUCCCACCCCUGCGAGGAGCGGGCCGUGGCCGAAGAGGAGGCGGAGGAGACGGAGGUGGCGUGGGCUGUAGCAUCUUCGGAGCAGGAUAAAGAAGCCCUGGAACCCGGAGGUCAGUGGAGGCCGUAGAAGGCAGGAAGCAGAGACGUUGCACUUGGGCACACCUAGGUCGGCAUCACAACACUGCCUCACCUUAGCCGGGCGGUUUCAGACCAGUCAUUUGGGUUUUUUUGUUUUUGCUAAGUCUUCAUGUCCUCAGCCCACGGGAUGGAGCCACGCUAACUGCUCCACAGAAAUGCCCUAAGCUGCUGCCAAGCCGGUAGGUUCCCAGCAGGGAAUGAUGCAGCUCCCUUCCCUCUGCCCAGGUGUCUUCUGGGCUCCUAAGGAAGGAACAGGCAGGUGGCUCGGGAAGACAUGGGGGAGGGGAAGCCUGCCUGCCUUUGAGGGUAUCUAAGGGGCGGCAGGGGAGGAGACCACCAGGCAGUGUGCCCCUGAAGCCUGCGUGGCAGUGCCUUUCCCCCUCCUGGAGCACACAUACCCCCUUUUGCAUCAGGAGCUUCUGCAUCGGGAAAACGCCAUGGGAACGGAGCCUUGAGCAUUGGUGGUGGCAGAGUGAGGGUUAACCAGUGAGCCUUCCUGGGAGCUUUUUGAUGCCAGGUUCGUUUCCAAAUGCAGCGGUGGCUGCCUGCUUCCUGACGCGAUUGAAUCCCGUGGGAGGGGAGUUGGACACCCCGAAACCCCUCGUCACCAGUUCCGGGGCUGCAGAG